RNAcentral lists this ribosomal RNA (570 nucleotides) under uncultured Verrucomicrobiota bacterium. Its description in RNAcentral is "bacterial SSU rRNA". It matches the Rfam family "Bacterial small subunit ribosomal RNA", at positions 194 to 759 of the family's 1533-position model. The record is from RNAcentral. Lineage: Bacteria; Pseudomonadati; Verrucomicrobiota.
GGGGACCGCAAGGCCUGGCGCUUUUUGAGAAGCCCGCGGCCCAUCNGCUAAUUGGCGAGGUAAAAGCUCACCAAGGCUAUGACGGGUAGCUGGUCUGAGAGGACGACCAGCCACACUGGAACUGAGACACGGUCCAGACACCUACGGGUGGCAGCAGUCGAGAAUUUUUCACAAUGGACGAAAGUCUGAUGGAGCGACGCCGCGUGGAGGAUGAAGGUUUUCGGAUUGUAAACACCUGUCACUGCAGAACAAGGAUAUGCUCGUUAACAGCGAAUGUAUUUGAUGGUAUGCGGAGAGGAAGGGACGGCUAACUCUGUGCCAGCAGCCGCGGUAAGACAGAGGUCCCGAGCGUUGUUCGGAUUCAUUGGGCGUAAAGGGUGUGUAGGAGGCCAGGUAAGUCAGGUGUGAAAUCUCAGAGCUUAACUCUGAAACUGCGCUUGAUACUGCUUGGCUAGAGGAUCGGAGGGGGUAACGGAAUUUAUGGUGUAGCAGUGAAAUGCGUAGAUAUCAUAAGGAACACCGGUGGCGAAGGCGGUUACCUGGAAGAUUCCUGACUCUGAAACACGAAAG